Molecule: ribosomal RNA, 350 nt
Filed under: uncultured Porphyromonas sp.
Lineage: Bacteria; Pseudomonadati; Bacteroidota; Bacteroidia; Bacteroidales; Porphyromonadaceae
Description: bacterial SSU rRNA
Rfam family: Bacterial small subunit ribosomal RNA
Source: RNAcentral
GUAGUCCACGCAGUAAACGAUGAUUACUGGGCGUAUGCGAUAUAUAGUAUGCUCCUGAGCGAAAGCGUUAAGUAAUCCACCUGGGGAGUACGCCGGCAACGGUGAAACUCAAAGGAAUUGACGGGGGCCCGCACAAGCGGAGGAACAUGUGGUUUAAUUCGAUGAUACGCGAGGAACCUUACCCGGGAUUGAAAUGUAGAUGACUGCAGAUGAAAGUUUGCUUCCCUUCGGGGCGUCUAUGUAGGUGCUGCAUGGUUGUCGUCAGCUCGUGCCGUGAGGUGUCGGCUUAAGUGCCAUAACGAGCGCAACCCACAUUGGUAGUUACUAACAGGUUAAGCUGAGGACUCUAC